Molecule: ribosomal RNA, 548 nt
Filed under: uncultured Glomeromycotina
Lineage: Eukaryota; Fungi; Glomeromycota
Description: SSU rRNA
Rfam family: Eukaryotic small subunit ribosomal RNA
Source: RNAcentral
UUGGAGGGCAAGUCUGGUGCCAGCAGCCGCGGUAAUUCCAGCUCCAAUAGCGUAUAUUAAAGUUGUUGCAGUUAAAAAGCUCGUAGUUGAAUUUCGGGAUCAAUUUAUCGGUCGUGCCUACGGUAUGAACUGGUACAAUUGGUUUCUCCCUUCUGACGAGGCAUGAUGUCAUUAAUUUGGUGUCGUGGGGAAUCAGGACUGUUACUUUGAAAAAAUUAGAGUGUUUAAAGCAAGCACACGCUUGAAUACAUUAGCAUGGAAUAAUGAAAUAGGACGUUUGACCCUAUUUUGUUGGUUUCUAGGAUCGACGUAAUGAUUAAUAGGGAUAGUUGGGGGCAUUAGUAUUCAAUUGUCAAAGGUGAAAUUCUUGGAUUUAUUGAAGACUAACUACUGCGAAAGCAUUUGCCAAGGAUGUUUUCAUUAAUCAAGAACGAAAGUUAGGGGAUCGAAGACGAUCAGAUACCGUCGUAGUCUUAACCAUAAACUAUGCCGACUAGGGAUCGGAUGAUGUUAAUUCUUAAUGACUCAUUCGGCGCCUUACGGGAAAC